This 460-nucleotide ribosomal RNA is filed under the name uncultured bacterium. RNAcentral describes it as "partial 16S ribosomal RNA". It matches the Rfam family "Bacterial small subunit ribosomal RNA", at positions 338 to 795 of the family's 1533-position model. The record is from RNAcentral.
CCUACGGGAGACAGCAGUGAGGAAUAUUGGUCACUGGACGAGAGUCUGAACCAGCCAAGUAGCGUGAAGGAUGACUGCCCUAUGGGUUGUAAACUUCUUUUAUAUGGGAAUAAAACGUUCCACGUGUGGGAUUUUGUAUGUACCAUAUGAAUAAGGAUCGGCUAACUCCGUGCCAGCAGCCGCGUUAAUACGGAGGAUCCGAGCGUUAUCCGGAUUUAUUGGGUUUAAAGGGAGCGUAGGUGGAUUGUUAAGUCAGUUGUGAAAGUUUGCGGCUCAACCGUAAAAUUGCAGUUGAAACUGGCAGUCUUGAGUACAGUAGAGGUGGGCGGAAUUCGUGGUGUAGCGGUGAAAUGCUUAGAUAUCACGAAGAACUCCGAUUGCGAAGGCAGUUCACUGGACUGCAACUGACACUGAGGCUCGAAAGUGUGGGUAUCAAACAGGAUUAGAUACCCGGGUAGUC